RNAcentral lists this ribosomal RNA (624 nucleotides) under uncultured bacterium. RNAcentral's name for it is "bacterial SSU rRNA". It matches the Rfam family "Bacterial small subunit ribosomal RNA", at positions 132 to 772 of the family's 1533-position model. The record is from RNAcentral.
CAAAGAGGGGGACAACAGUUGGAAACGACUGCUAAUACCGCAUAAGCCCACGGCUCGGCAUCGAGCAGAGGGAAAAGGAGUGAUCCGCUUUGAGAUGGCCUCGCGUCCGAUUAGCUGGUUGGUGAGGUAACGGCCCACCAAGGCAACGAUCGGUAGCCGGACUGAGAGGUUGAACGGCCACAUUGGGACUGAGACACGGCCCAGACUCCUACGGGAGGCAGCAGUGGGGAAUAUUGCACAAUGGGGGAAACCCUGAUGCAGCGACGCCGCGUGGAGGAAGAAGGUCUUCGGAUUGUAAACUCCUGUUGUUGAGGAAGAUAAUGACGGUACUCAACAAGGAAGUGACGGCUAACUACGUGCCAGCAGCCGCGGUAAAACGUAGGUCACAAGCGUUGUCCGGAAUUACUGGGUGUAAAGGGAGCGCAGGCGGGAGAACAAGUUGGAAGUGAAAUCCAUGGGCUCAACCCAUGAACUGCUUUCAAAACUGUUUUUCUUGAGUAGUGCAGAGGUAGGCGGAAUUCCCGGUGUAGCGGUGGAAUGCGUAGAUAUCGGGAGGAACACCAGUGGCGAAGGCGGCCUACUGGGCACCAACUGACGCUGAGGCUCGAAAGUGUGGGUAGCAAA